RNAcentral lists this long non-coding RNA (1034 nucleotides) under Zonotrichia albicollis (white-throated sparrow). Its description in RNAcentral is "lncRNA (ENSZALG00000001299.1)". Lineage: Eukaryota; Metazoa; Chordata; Aves; Passeriformes; Passerellidae. The record is from RNAcentral.
AUGGUGUUCCCAAAAAAUGGUGGUUCCAAGGAGGGAUGGUUCCAGGGAAUUAUGAACCCAGGAAAUGAUGAUGAUUCCAAGGAAUUAUGGGUUCAGGGAAUGAUUGUCCUAAAGAAUGAUGGUUCCAGGGAAUGGUGGUUCCAAGGAAUUAUGAACCCAGGAAAUGAUGAUUCCAAGGAAUUAUGGGUUCAGGGAAUGAUUGUCCUAAAAAAUGAUGGUUUCAGGGAAGAGUGGUUCUAAGGAGGGAUGGUUUCAGGGAAUGGUGGUCGAAGGGAAUGGUGGUUCCAAAGAAUGAUUGUCCUAAAGAAUGAUGGUUCCAGAGAAUGGUGGUUCCAAAGAAUUAUGGUCUCAGGGAAUGCUGGUCCCAAGGAAUGGUGGUACUUUAGAAUGAUGGUUUCAGGGAAUGCUGGUUCCAAGGAAUUAAUGGUUCCAGGGAAUGAUAGUGCCAGGAAUCACUGAUCCUGGCACUAUCCCUGAUGAUCUCAGGGAACGAUGGUUCCAAGGAAUUACGUUUUCUGGAAAUGAUGGUCCAGGGAAUGAUAUUCUGUAGGAAUGGUGGUUUUGGGGAGUGAUGGUCCCAAAGAAUGAUGAUCUCAGGGAAUGGUGGUUCCAAGGAAUUACAUUUUCUGGGAAUGAUGCUCCCAGGAAAUGAUGAUUGCAAGGAAUUAUGGUUCCAGGCAAUGAUAGUGCCAGGAGUCAUGGUGCUAAGGAAUGAUGCUCCCAGGGAAUGAUAUUCCUUAGGAAUGGAGGUUUUGGGGAAUGAUGGUCCCAAAGAAUGAUGAUCUCAGGGAAUGGUGGUUCCAAGGAAUGGUAGUUCCAGGUCAUGAUGAUUCCAAGGAAUUAUGGUUUGAGGGAAUUAUGGUUCCAAGGAAUGGUGGUUCCAAGGAAUGGUGGCUCCAGGGAAUGAUGAUUCCAAAGAAUUAUGGCUUCAGGGAAUGAUGGUUCCAAGGAAUGAUGAUUCCAAGGAAUUAUGGCUUCAGGGAAUGAUGGUCCCAAAGAAUGAUGAUCUCAGGGAAUGAUGGUUCCAUGGCACC